AUUGAACGCUAGCGGAAUGCUUUACACAUGCAAGUCGAACGGCAGCACGGACUUCGGUCUGGUGGCGAGUGGCGAACGGGUGAGUAAUACAUCGGACCGUGCCCAGUCGUGGGGGAUCACGUAGCGAAAGCUACGCUAAUACCGCAUACGAUCUAAGGAUGAAAGCGGGGGAUCGCAAGACCUUGCGCGCUUGGAGCGGCCGAUGGCCGAUUAGGUAGUUGGUGGGGGAAAGGCUCACCAAGCCGACGAUCUGUAGCUGGUCUGAGAGGACGACCAGCGACACUGGGACUGAGACACGGCCCAGACUCCUACGGGAGGCAGCAGUGGGGAAUUUUGGACAAUGGGCGCAAGCCUGAUCCAGCCAUUCCGCGUGCAGGAUGAAGGCCCUCGGGUUGUAAACUGCUUUUGUACGGAACGAAAAGGCUCUGGUUAAUACCUGGGGCUCAUGACGGUACCGUAAGAAUAAGCACCGGCUAACUACGUGCCAGCAGCCGCCGUAA
This 500-nucleotide ribosomal RNA is filed under the name uncultured bacterium. RNAcentral's name for it is "partial 16S ribosomal RNA". It matches the Rfam family "Bacterial small subunit ribosomal RNA", at positions 30 to 523 of the family's 1533-position model. The record is from RNAcentral.